AGAGUUUGAUCCUGGCUCAGAAUCAACGCUGGCGGCGUGCCUCAGACAUGCAAGUCGAACGAUUAAACUUUCCUUCGGGGAAGAUAUAAAGUGGCGCACGGGUGAGUAACACGUAGGUAAUGUACCUUUGGGUGGGGAAUAACUUAGGGAAACUUAAGCUAAUACCGCAUAAUGCAGCGGCUCCUUCGGGAGACAGUUGUUAAAGCGUUUACGCGCCUAAAGAGCAGCCUGCGGCAGAUUAGCUAGUUGGUAAGGUAACGGCUUACCAAGGCUACGAUCUGUAUCCGACCUGAGAGGGUGGUCGGACACACUGACACUGAAUAACGGGUCAGACUCCUACGGGAGGCAGCAGUCGGGAAUUUUGGGCAAUGGGCGAAAGCCUGACCCAGCAACGCCGCGUGAAGGAUGAAGUCUUUCGGGAUGUAAACUUCGUAAGAAUAGGAAGAAUAAAUGACGGUACUAUUUGUAAGGUCCGGCUAACUACGUGCCAGCAGCCGCGGUAAUACGUAGGGACCAAGCGUUGUUCGGAUUUACUGGGCGUAAAGGGCGCGUAGGCGGCGUGUCAAGUCAAUUGUGAAAUCUCCGAGCUUAACUCGGAACGGUCAAUUGAUACUGAUGUGCUAGAGUGCAGAAGGGGCAAUCGGAAUUCUUGGUGUAGCGGUGAAAUGCGUAGAUAUCAAGAGGAACACCUGAGGUGAAGACGGGUUGCUGGGCUGACACUGACGCUGAGGCGCGAAAGCUAGGGUAGCAAACGGGAUUAGAUACCCCAGUAGUCC
Molecule: ribosomal RNA, 776 nt
Filed under: uncultured bacterium
Lineage: Bacteria
Description: bacterial SSU rRNA
Rfam family: Bacterial small subunit ribosomal RNA
Source: RNAcentral